GGAUGAACGCUAGCGGCAGGCUUAACACAUGCAAGUCGAGGGGCAGCACGGGUAGCAAUACCUGGUGGCGACCGGCGCAAGGGUGCGUAACGCGUGAGCAACAUGCCCUAUACAGGGGGAUAAUCCAGGGAAACUUGGUCUAAUAUCCCAUAGUAUUUAGAGGAGGCAUCUUCUAUAAAUUAAAGCUUCGGUGGUAUAGGAUUGGCUCGCGUGACAUUAGCUAGAUGGUAAGGUAACGGCUUACCAUGGCAACGAUGUCUAGGGGGUCUUAAAGGAUGGUCCCCCACACUGGUACUGAGACACGGACCAGACUCCUACGGGAGGCAGCAGUGAGGAAUAUUGGUCAAUGGACGAAAGUCUGAACCAGCCAUGCCGCGUGAAGGAUGACGGCCCUAUGGGUUGUAAACUUCUUUUAUAUGGGAGCAAUAAGGUCUACGUGUAGAGAUUUGAAGGUACCAUACGAAUAAGCUCCGGCUAACUACGUGCCAGCAGCCGCGGUAAUACGUAGGGGGCAAGCGUUGUCCGGAUUCAUUGGGCGUAAAGAGCUCGUAGGCGGUUCAGUAAGUCGGGUGUGAAAGCUCCGAGCUCAACUCGGAGAGGCCACCCGAUACUGCUGUGACUCGAGUCCGGUAGAGGAGCGUGGAACUCCUGGUGUAGCGGUGAAAUGCGCAGAUAUCAGGAAGAACACCCGUAGCGAAGGCGGCGCUCUGGGCCGGUACUGACGCUGAGGAGCGAAAGCGUGGGUAGCAAACAGGAUUAGAUACCCUGGUAGUCCAUGCCGUAAACGUUGGGCACUAGGUGUGGGAGGGAAUCAACCCCUUCCGUGCCGUAGCUAACGCAUUAAGUGCCCCGCCUGGGGAGUACGGCCGCAAGGCUAAAACUCAAAGGAAUUGACGGGGGCCCGCACAAGCGGCGGAGCAUGUUGCUUAAUUCGAGGCAACGCGAAGAACCUUACCUAGGUUGAACUACGCAGGAAAAGCCACAGAGAUGUGGUGUCCUUCGGGGCCUGCGAUAGGUGGUGCAUGGCUGUCGUCAGCUCGUGUCGUGAGAUGUUGGGUUAAGUCCCGCAACGAGCGCAACCCUUGUCCUAUGUUGCCAGCACGUUAUGGUGGGGACUCGUAGGAGACUGCCGGGGUCAACUCGGAGGAAGGUGGGGACGACGUCAAGUCAUCAUGCCCCUUAUGUCCAGGGCUGCAAACAUGCUACAAUGGCUGGUACAACGGGCUGCUACAUCGUGAGAUGAAGCGAAUCCCUUAAAGCCAGUCUCAGUUCGGAUUGGAGUCUGCAACUCGACUCCAUGAAGCCGGAGUCGCUAGUAAUCCCGGAUCAGCAACGCCGGGGUGAAUACGUUCCCGGGCCU
Molecule: ribosomal RNA, 1360 nt
Filed under: uncultured prokaryote
Description: partial 16S ribosomal RNA
Rfam family: Bacterial small subunit ribosomal RNA
Source: RNAcentral